AUGAACGCUGGCGGCGUGCCUAAUACAUGCAAGUCGAGCGAACGGACGAGAAGCUUGCUUCUCUGAUGUUAGCGGCGGACGGGUGAGUAACACGUGGAUAACCUACCUAUAAGACUGGGAUAACUUCGGGAAACCGGAGCUAAUACCGGAUAAUAUUUUGAACCGCAUGGUUCAAAAGUGAAAGACGGUCUUGCUGUCACUUAUAGAUGGAUCCGCGCUGCAUUAGCUAGUUGGUAAGGUAACGGCUUACCAAGGCAACGAUGCAUAGCCGACCUGAGAGGGUGAUCGGCCACACUGGAACUGAGACACGGUCCAGACUCCUACGGGAGGCAGCAGUAGGGAAUCUUCCGCAAUGGGCGAAAGCCUGACGGAGCAACGCCGCGUGAGUGAUGAAGGUCUUCAGAUCGUAAAACUCUGUUAUUAGGGAAGAACAUAUGUGUAAGUAACUGUGCACAUCUUGACGGUACCUAAUCAGAAAGCCACGGCUAACUACGUG
Molecule: ribosomal RNA, 496 nt
Filed under: uncultured bacterium
Lineage: Bacteria
Description: partial 16S ribosomal RNA
Rfam family: Bacterial small subunit ribosomal RNA
Source: RNAcentral